ACAUAUGGAGCUUUCCUUAAAGAAUUUUAGCAUAUAGUAUAGCAACAGUCAUAAUCCCGGCCUCAGAACUCCCAAGAUAGCAAGAGCAGGCAACAUAGUGUAUAGCACUAUAGCUUUACCUCUUCUGACAAUAACUUCACAAAGCAUACUAUACUCUUGUAUUUGAAAGAAAUCAUAUUUAUUUUGAUCAAAGCUUGCUUGUGUACAAAGUAAAGUACAUGCACUGAUGCAAAUACACAGAUGCAGACUGACCUCGUA
Molecule: unclassified non-coding RNA, 258 nt
Filed under: Hevea brasiliensis (rubber tree)
Lineage: Eukaryota; Viridiplantae; Streptophyta; Magnoliopsida; Malpighiales; Euphorbiaceae
Source: RNAcentral